Molecule: ribosomal RNA, 798 nt
Filed under: Brachybacterium paraconglomeratum
Lineage: Bacteria; Bacillati; Actinomycetota; Actinomycetes; Micrococcales; Dermabacteraceae
Rfam family: Bacterial small subunit ribosomal RNA
Source: RNAcentral
GCUGGCGGCGUGCUUAUCACAUGCAAGUCGAACGAUGACGGUGGUGCUUGCACCGCCUGAUUAGUGGCGAACGGGUGAGUAACACGUGAGUAACCUGCCCUCCACUUCGGGAUAACCUCGGGAAAUCGUGGCUAAUACCGGAUAUGAGCACUCAUCGCAUGGUGAGUGCUGGAAAGAUUUAUCGGUGGGGGAUGGACUCGCGGCCUAUCAGUUUGUUGGUGAGGUGAUGGCUCACCAAGACGAUGACGGGUAGCCGGCCUGAGAGGGCGACCGGCCACACUGGGACUGAGACACGGCCCAGACUCCUACGGGAGGCAGCAGUGGGGAAUAUUGCACAAUGGGCGAAAGCCUGAUGCAGCGACGCCGCGUGGGGGAUGACGGCCUUCGGGUUGUAAACCCCUUUCAGUAGGGAAGAAGCGAGAGUGACGGUACCUGCAGAAGAAGCGCCGGCUAACUACGUGCCAGCAGCCGCGGUAAUACGUAGGGCGCAAGCGUUGUCCGGAAUUAUUGGGCGUAAAGAGCUUGUAGGUGGCUUGUCGCGUCUGCCGUGAAAACCCGAGGCUCAACCUCGGGCGUGCGGUGGGUACGGGCAGGCUAGAGUGUGGUAGGGGAGACUGGAACUCCUGGUGUAGCGGUGAAAUGCGCAGAUAUCACGAAGAACACCGAUGGCGAAGGCAGGUCUCUGGGCCAUUACUGACACUGAGAAGCGAAAGCAUGGGUAGCGAACAGGAUUAGAUACCCUGGUAGUCCAUGCCGUAAACGUUGGGCACUAGGUGUGGGGGACAUUCCACGUUUUCC